Gasterosteus aculeatus aculeatus (three-spined stickleback) is the source of this 593-nucleotide long non-coding RNA. Lineage: Eukaryota; Metazoa; Chordata; Actinopteri; Perciformes; Gasterosteidae. The record is from Ensembl.
CAUAUCCCCACAGAUGUGUAAUCCGGUCAAACACUUUUCACUGUCGGAUUCUCAGUCCUUUUUCAAGUCCUGAUACGCACAGCUUCCAGGUUCGGUAAAACACCAGGAGUUACACCAACCACCCACACAUUUCCCAGUAUGAAAAACAACAAAUCUUUCCCUGUGUCCUUAUUUCUUCAUCUAAUAUUCUAACCUGCCAGUCCAAGAAUCACACGAGUAGGACUGCAGGACCAGAGGUAUCUACGUACCACACGGAUUGUAACUUGGAUUUCUACAGACUAAGAGUCGACCUCAGGGAACUCAAGUGAGCCCCGUCAUUCCUUUUUAAACUCCUCAUACAUUUACCUAAGUCCCUAAACCUAAACCCCUACACUGUUCUAAACUGCCAGUCCACUGCAUGCAAACGUGGGACUGCAGUUACCAGAGGUAUCUACGUACCACACGGAUUGCAACUUGGAUUUCUACCGACUAAGAUUAUAUAUAUUUUUACCUAAAUCCCUAAACCUAUGGACACUUAUUCACUUUCCCUAACGUUGAAUUCAGUGUGAGUAUGUGCUUAUACUUUACAUGUGAUCAACAGGAAAUUUUCAAAU